AUGCAAGUCGAACGAACUCUGGUAUUGAUUGGUGCUUGCAUCAUGAUUUACAUUUGAGUGAGUGGCGAACUGGUGAGUAACACGUGGGAAACCUGCCCAGAAGCGGGGGAUAACACCUGGAAACAGAUGCUAAUACCGCAUAACAACUUGGACCGCAUGGUCCGAGCUUGAAAGAUGGCUUCGGCUAUCACUUUUGGAUGGUCCCGCGGCGUAUUAGCUAGAUGGUGGGGUAACGGCUCACCAUGGCAAUGAUACGUAGCCGACCUGAGAGGGUAAUCGGCCACAUUGGGACUGAGACACGGCCCAAACUCCUACGGGAGGCAGCAGUAGGGAAUCUUCCACAAUGGACGAAAGUCUGAUGGAGCAACGCCGCGUGAGUGAAGAAGGGUUUCGGCUCGUAAAACUCUGUUGUUAAAGAAGAACAUAUCUGAGAGUAACUGUUCAGGUAUUGACGGUAUUUAACCAGAAAGCCACGGCUAACUACGUGCCAGCAGCCGCGGUAAUACGUAGGUGGCAAGCGUUGUCCGGAUUUAUUGGGCGUAAAGCGAGCGCAGGCGGUUUUUUAAGUCUGAUGUGAAAGCCUUCGGCUCAACCGAAGAAGUGCAUCGGAAACUGGGAAACUUGAGUGCAGAAGAGGACAGUGGAACUCCAUGUGUAGCGGUGAAAUGCGUAGAUAUAUGGAAGAACACCAGUGGCGAAGGCGGCUGUCUGGUCUGUAACUGACGCUGAGGCUCGAAAGUAUGGGUAGCAAACAGGAUUAGAUACCCUGGUAGUCCAUACCGUAAACGAUGAAUGCUAAGUGUUGGAGGGUUUCCGCCCUUCAGUGCUGCAGCUAACGCAUUAAGCAUUCCGCCUGGGGAGUACGGCCGCAAGGCUGAAACUCAAAGGAAUUGACGGGGGCCCGCACAAGCGGUGGAGCAUGUGGUUUAAUUCGAAGCUACGCGAAGAACCUUACCAGGUCUUGACAUACUAUGCAAAUCUAAGAGAUUAGACGUUCCCUUCGGGGACAUGGAUACAGGUGGUGCAUGGUUGUCGUCAGCUCGUGUCGUGAGAUGUUGGGUUAAGUCCCGCAACGAGCGCAACCCUUAUUAUCAGUUGCCAGCAUUAAGUUGGGCACUCUGGUGAGACUGCCGGUGACAAACCGGAGGAAGGUGGGGAUGACGUCAAAUCAUCAUGCCCCUUAUGACCUGGGCUACACACGUGCUACAAUGGAUGGUACAACGAGUUGCGAACUCGCGAGAGUAAGCUAAUCUCUUAAAGCCAUUCUCAGUUCGGAUUGUAGGCUGCAACUCGCCUACAUGAAGUCGGAAUCGCUAGUAAUCGCGGAUCAGCAGCC
This 1336-nucleotide ribosomal RNA is filed under the name Lactiplantibacillus plantarum. Its description in RNAcentral is "bacterial SSU rRNA". It matches the Rfam family "Bacterial small subunit ribosomal RNA", at positions 55 to 1357 of the family's 1533-position model. Lineage: Bacteria; Bacillati; Bacillota; Bacilli; Lactobacillales; Lactobacillaceae. The record is from RNAcentral.